GGUCCCCCGCGCGCGCCCCAGGGCUCCAGGCCGGGCGGGCUCCCAACGUCCGAUCCCGAUCCCCGCCCGGGACACGCAGGUCCUGGGACUCGGGGGCUGAAGGGCCCUUGGUUUCUGGACUCCGCUCCCGCCCCGGGCAAGGGCCGCUUUCUCAGGGGCCAACAGUUUGAGGGCCAGGACAGGGUCCCCGCGGGCAGAGUCAAGAAUGGAUCCUGAUGACCCUGAGAAGUGACAGGGACUGGCAGGGCUUGUUCACGGUUUUAUGUUUCCCAAAAGGGCAAAGGAACUCUCCGGGUAGAGACUCCAGCAGAAGAGUCGGGGCGAGAAACUUGGACUUGAACAGGAUUUGAGAAGGAGGGAGAGCCCACUCCAAGGUCCCUCCCUCACCUGCUGGUAAGAAAAAUGAGAGUCCAAGAGAAUAAGCAAUCUUUUAAGGUUGCCCACACCUGAGUUGCCGAGCCAGAUUCCAACCCAGCUCUGUCUUAACUCUGAAACUAUCGCUCAUAACCAUGACACUGGCACUGCUUGUUACCAAAAAAAAAGUGCAGAAUUGUGCAGAGUGACCCUUCACAUGACCGGAUUGGAGACCUGGUGACUUCGAACCACCAGGUUCCCCCACCUGCCUGAGAAGGCCUACACGUGACUCUGCCUUUAGCCCUCAGACGCUCAUCUGGCCCGGUGUUCCAGUCAAAGUCCUUAAAACUCAAAGAAGGAAGUAAUUACUCCUGGGUGCGGUAACCUUGAAGGCUUCCAGAAGAAUUUGAUAUUUGAUUCAAGAUGUGAAGGAUAAGGAAAUAUUGCCAGGCAGGGGCAAGGUAGGAAGUAUGUUCCGGUAGAGAAAAUAGCCUGAGUAAAACCCCAGAUGUAAAAAUCCAGGCAUGUGUGAGGCCCCAGUGAGAGGCACAGCAGCUGAAGGGUUGAGAGCAGGAGUGCUUUGUGCCUAGCCUCGGGCCUGCCUGGCCCGCACGAAAUAAUGGGUACGUUUACCUGACCGGCCUUGAAAGGCCCGCUCUCCAAUCGACACCCUGAUUGUAAAUGCCACCUUCAUCAAUUAAAAACUUUGACCCCUCA
Canis lupus familiaris (dog) is the source of this 1071-nucleotide long non-coding RNA. RefSeq lists it as uncharacterized. NCBI's taxonomy places the organism in Eukaryota, Metazoa, Chordata, Mammalia, Carnivora, Canidae. The record is from RefSeq and is a predicted model, not a curated record. The transcript has 2 exons.